Molecule: small RNA, 85 nt
Filed under: marine eukaryotic metagenome
Description: t44 RNA
Rfam family: t44 RNA
About the family: This family consists of a number of bacterial RNA genes of between 135 and 170 bases in length. The t44 gene is found between the map and rpsB genes in all species in the full alignment apart from Shigella flexneri.
Source: RNAcentral
AAUUAAUCCACACGCGCGUCGACACAUCCCGCUGGGUGCCCCACAAAAACAAGGGGUUGCGGGCUGGGGCGCGCGGAGGCUCAAC